This 402-nucleotide ribosomal RNA is filed under the name uncultured bacterium. RNAcentral's name for it is "bacterial SSU rRNA". It matches the Rfam family "Bacterial small subunit ribosomal RNA", at positions 32 to 429 of the family's 1533-position model. The record is from RNAcentral.
AAUCAACGCUGGCGGCGUGCCUCAGACAUGCAAGUCGAACGAUUAAAGCUCUCUUCGGAGAGUGUAUAGAGUGGCGCACGGGUGAGUAACACGUAAGUAAUCUACCCUCGAGUGGGGAAUAACAACCGGAAACGGUUGCCAAUACCGCAUAAUGCAGCGGCACCGCAAGGUGACAGUUGUUAAAGAUUUAUCGCUUGAGGAGGAGCUUGCGGCAGAUUAGCUAGUUGGUAGGGUAACGGCUUACCAAGGCUACGAUCUGUAACCGGUCUAAGAGGACGGUCGGUCACACUGACACUGAAUAACGGGUCAGACUCCUACGGGAGGCAGCAGUCGGGAAUUUUGGGCAAUGGGGGCAACCCUGAUCCAGCCAUGCCGCGUGUGUGAAGAAGGCCUCGGUGUAAG